ACUUGAAUAGUUUAAAUAAAAUAUUGAUUUGUGGGGUCAAUGAUACAUUUCCUGUUUCAGGUA
This 63-nucleotide transfer RNA is filed under the name Bostrichoidea sp. 7 KM-2017. Its description in RNAcentral is "tRNA-His". The record is from RNAcentral. RNAcentral also lists the same sequence under 1 other name. Lineage: Eukaryota; Metazoa; Arthropoda; Insecta; Coleoptera.